RNAcentral lists this ribosomal RNA (253 nucleotides) under uncultured bacterium. RNAcentral describes it as "partial 16S ribosomal RNA". It matches the Rfam family "Bacterial small subunit ribosomal RNA", at positions 524 to 776 of the family's 1533-position model. The record is from RNAcentral.
UACGGAGGGUGCGAGCGUUGUUCGGAUUCACUGGGCGUAAAGGGUGCGUAGGCGGUCGGGUAAGUCUGAUGUGAAAUCUCACAGCUUAACUGUGAAACUGCAUUGGAUACUAUCCGGCUCGAGGAAUGGAGGGGAGACUGGAAUACUUGGUGUAGCAGUGAAAUGCGUAGAUAUCAAGUGGAACACCAGUGGCGAAGGCGAGUCUCUGGACAUUUCCUGACGCUGAGGCACGAAAGCCAGGGGAGCAAACGGG